GGGGGUGGAUGUGUCCCGGUGGGCGCCCCGGUCUUCAAAACCGGUGGCGGGCGCUGCGUAGGCGUCCGCGGUGGGUUCGACUCCCAUCCAUCCCCG
This 96-nucleotide transfer RNA is filed under the name Caldilineales bacterium. RNAcentral describes it as "tRNA-Sec". It matches the Rfam family "Selenocysteine transfer RNA". Lineage: Bacteria; Bacillati; Chloroflexota; Caldilineae; Caldilineales. The record is from RNAcentral.